UCCCGGUUGACGCAAUUGGUUAGCGUGUCAGACUUUUACCAAACAGUGAAAUCUGAAAGUUACGAGUUCGAGUCUCGUACCGGGAG
Transfer RNA from Fusarium verticillioides 7600, 86 nucleotides. It matches the Rfam family "tRNA". Rfam says of the family: Transfer RNA (tRNA) molecules are approximately 80 nucleotides in length. NCBI's taxonomy places the organism in Eukaryota, Fungi, Ascomycota, Sordariomycetes, Hypocreales, Nectriaceae. The record is from Rfam.